UAUCAUAUCUACGAUCCCAUGACCAUACAAAAGAGGCCAAAAUAUCUCAACGUUCCACAUCUCCCACAACCCCACCAUAUGCACGUUCUUCAAAAAAAAAUCCCAAAUAGUUAUAACUUGGCCCAUAAAUAUCACCCAUAAAAAAAAGAGAACCUACUCUUGAACCUACUCUUAAACCUAUUCUCAACAAGUAAGAAAAAAAAACACCUAUUCUAUUACCUAUUCUUUCUUCACGAAAGAGAAGAAAAAAAAUAGCAAGGCGAAGAUGGUUGAGCUCAACAACGCCGUCAAUGGAGUGCCCGGGUCCACUGCCCUCAACACCAACCUGCAUGCCUUCCAACCCCAUCUCUAAUGCCGUUGUGCCUCAACUUACAUGCCGUGGCAGCCUUCACCCUCAACAUUGCCGCUGCCUAAACUUUAUCGUAGCCGCGACCUCCAACUUUGCUGUGACCUCCAUCUACAACUCUGCUGUGACUCCAAUGUAAUCGUGAAACCGGUGUUGCGCAAUGCACCACGCCCACCAACUGUUCGAUGAAAUGCCCAAGAUGCAUUUUUUGACGACGAACCUAACCUGCAUAUAGAGAGAGAGCGGUGCUCUUCUCUUCAUAAAAAAAAAAAAAAUGUCAUCAAAAGAGAGAGAGAAAUUACUCCUCUAAUUAGGAAAGAGAGAGCUUUGUUACUAAAAAGGAGACAAGGAAGGGAUUUUCCCACCAUCGUUGUCCCAUGAAUAUAAAAGAGGCAAAGGAGGAUUAUCCAUCUUUGUUGUCCUAUACCUUCAAAGGAGAUAAAGAGAGAAAUUGCUCUCUUAAUUCUCUUAUAAUUGGGAGGCAAAAGAAAUCAAUCGGGUUACCGAUUGUUACUCUUUUGAUUGUCCUUUUAUUGGAAGAAUAACGGGAUGUUCGAAAAAUAAUCGACCCUCUUGAUUCUAUCCAGAGUCGAACCUCUCGAUUUGGCCAAAUUAGACCAAAUUGAGAUUUAAUCGCAUUCAAUAAUUGGACACUUUAUGCUCCAAAUUAAAUCAAGUCAUGAUGUCGAAGUUGGUUUUAACCUUUUCAUUAUAAUUAAUGUGAGUUGAAUUUUUGUUA
This is a long non-coding RNA of Ananas comosus (pineapple), 1085 nucleotides long. RefSeq lists it as uncharacterized. The record is from RefSeq and is a predicted model, not a curated record. The transcript has 2 exons. Lineage: Eukaryota; Viridiplantae; Streptophyta; Magnoliopsida; Poales; Bromeliaceae.